This 71-nucleotide transfer RNA is filed under the name bacterium. Its description in RNAcentral is "tRNA-Gly". It matches the Rfam family "tRNA". Rfam says of the family: Transfer RNA (tRNA) molecules are approximately 80 nucleotides in length. Their secondary structure includes four short double-helical elements and three loops (D, anti-codon, and T loops). The record is from RNAcentral.
GCGAGAGUAGUAUAAUGGUAUUAUGCAACCUUCCCAAGGUUGAGACGGGGGUUCGAUUCCCCUCUCUCGCU